This 83-nucleotide non-coding RNA is filed under the name bovine gut metagenome. RNAcentral's name for it is "S10-Clostridia ribosomal protein leader". It matches the Rfam family "S10-Clostridia ribosomal protein leader". The record is from RNAcentral.
UGAUAGCGAUGAAGCGCGAGGUUGCUGCACUUCAGUUGCAGGUUUUCCGUGGAGCGAAUGUCAUGUAAGGAUACUGGCGACAA